This 48-nucleotide transfer RNA is filed under the name Succinivibrionaceae bacterium. RNAcentral's name for it is "tRNA-Ser". Lineage: Bacteria; Pseudomonadati; Pseudomonadota; Gammaproteobacteria; Aeromonadales; Succinivibrionaceae. The record is from RNAcentral.
GGACUGAAAAUCCCCGUGUCGGCGGUUCGAUUCCGUCUCUGGGCACCA